AUUGAACGCUGGCGGCAUGCCUUACACAUGCAAGUCGAACGGUAACAGGUCUUCGGAUGCUGACGAGUGGCGAACGGGUGAGUAAUACAUCGGAACGUGCCCGAGAGUGGGGGAUAACGAAGCGAAAGCUUUGCUAAUACCGCAUACGAUCUCAGGAUGAAAGCAGGGGACCGCAAGGCCUUGCGCUCACGGAGCGGCCGAUGGCAGAUUAGGUAGUUGGUGGGAUAAAAGCUUACCAAGCCGACGAUCUGUAGCUGGUCUGAGAGGACGACCAGCCACACUGGGACUGAGACACGGCCCAGACUCCUACGGGAGGCAGCAGUGGGGAAUUUUGGACAAAGGGCGCAAGCCUGAUCCAGCCAUGCCGCGUGCAGGAUGAAGGCCUUCGGGUUGUAAACUGCUUUUGUACGGAACGAAAAGACUCUGGUUAAUACCUGGGGUCCAUGACGGUACCGUAAGAAUAAGCACCGGCUAACUACGUGCCAGCCGCCGCGGUAA
Molecule: ribosomal RNA, 498 nt
Filed under: uncultured bacterium
Lineage: Bacteria
Description: partial 16S ribosomal RNA
Rfam family: Bacterial small subunit ribosomal RNA
Source: RNAcentral